GCCAACGAGGGUUUGUGACGGUGUGCUUCGUGUUUCCUGUUUCGCCCCAAAUCAAAGAUUCGUGUUUCUCGUAUAUUGUGAAUCGUGACUGCAACACUGCAACUGCCGUGUCUGCUUCUGCUACUGCUCUUGAGCUUCCUGUGGUCUUGGUGGUCGUUAGUGGUCCUUGGACCCUUUGUGGCCGGCCCUCUCUCCUCUGCCUUCCGGUCUCGUCAAGAAACACACGUCAUGGAAGAGUGGGAGUCAAGUAUGUACCAAUCUGACGAAAUGUCCGGGCUGGAGUCCGACGCGUCAUUUGUAACAACCGAGCAGAGCCAAGCGACAACACGUUGGCGAUCAGCAUUAUCGUGUGCUUUGUGGCUGCAGGAGUCAUCCUUCUGGUCCUUUAUUUGAUCAGUUCCGCCGGUGAUG
Molecule: non-coding RNA, 411 nt
Organism: Dermacentor albipictus
Lineage: Eukaryota; Metazoa; Arthropoda; Arachnida; Ixodida; Ixodidae
Source: RefSeq, a predicted model, not a curated record